GUUGAGGUGGCCGAGAGGUCUAAGGCAUCCGACUUAAGUUAAGCAACUUCUAUCGGAGGAGUGAAAGCUCAUCGUGGGUUCGAACCCCACCCUCAACA
Apiotrichum porosum is the source of this 98-nucleotide non-coding RNA. Lineage: Eukaryota; Fungi; Basidiomycota; Tremellomycetes; Trichosporonales; Trichosporonaceae. The record is from the annotation of a RefSeq genome assembly.